GACUGAUCCAAAGGUGGUGAAUUAUCUGAACUGAUUGUUCAAUCAGUGACAGAUCAAACUCCUUACUCUACUUUUCCCUUCUCACUACUGCACUUGUCUUAA
Y RNA from Callithrix jacchus (white-tufted-ear marmoset), 102 nucleotides. It matches the Rfam family "Y RNA". From Rfam's summary of the family: Y RNAs are components of the Ro ribonucleoprotein particle (Ro RNP), in association with Ro60 and La proteins. The Y RNAs and Ro60 and La proteins are well conserved, but the function of the Ro RNP is not known. In humans the RNA component can be one of four small RNAs -- hY1, hY3, hY4 and hY5. The record is from Ensembl. NCBI's taxonomy places the organism in Eukaryota, Metazoa, Chordata, Mammalia, Primates, Cebidae.